GAUGAAGAACGUAGUGAAAUGCGAUAAGUAAUGUGAAUUGCAGAAUUCAGUGAAUCAUCGAAUCUUUGAACGCACAUUGCGCCCCUUGGUAUUCCAUGGGGCAUGCCUGUUCGAGCGUCAUUUGUACCCUCAAGCUUUGCUUGGUGUUGGGUGUUUGUCCCGCGUUGCGCGUGGACUCGCCUUAAAGCGAUUGGCAGCCGGCAUAUUGGCCUUGGAGCGCAGCACAUUUUGCGCUUCUAGUCAUGAAUGUUGGCGUCCAUUAAGCCUAUACAUUUGCUCUUGACCUCGGAUCAGGUAGGGAUACCCGCUGAACUUAAGCAUAUCAAUAAGCGGAGGA
This 337-nucleotide unclassified non-coding RNA is filed under the name soil metagenome. RNAcentral's name for it is "partial contains 5.8S ribosomal RNA, internal transcribed spacer 2, and large subunit ribosomal RNA". The stretch from base 1 to 120 matches the Rfam family "5.8S ribosomal RNA", at positions 35 to 154 of the family's 154-position model. The record is from RNAcentral.